AAAUUAGUUCUGCCCAAUGAUUUAAUUAUUUAAUGGCUGCAGUAUUUUAACUGUGCGAAGGUAGCAUAAUUAUUAKUUUAUUAAUUAUAAACUUGUAUGAAUGGUUUGUUGAAAUUUAAGCUUUCUUUGGAUUAUUUUUUGAAUUUACAUUUCUUGUUAAAAUGCGAGGAUUUAUUUAUAAGACGAGAAGACCCUGUAAAACUUAAAUAUAUUAAUUUUAUAUAUAAAAUUAAUAUAUUUAGAUUGGGGAGAUUUUGAAAUUUUAAUAACUUUCAUUUAUUUUAUUUCGUUAAUUAUUGUUAUUUUGAUUAUAAUAAUAGUGUGGAUUGGUUACUUAAUGUGUAUUAGGUUCGUUUGUUC
This 360-nucleotide ribosomal RNA is filed under the name Nannocoris sp. Col 0998. Its description in RNAcentral is "partial 16S ribosomal RNA". The record is from RNAcentral. Lineage: Eukaryota; Metazoa; Arthropoda; Insecta; Hemiptera; Schizopteridae.